RNAcentral lists this transfer RNA (88 nucleotides) under Caulerpa lentillifera. RNAcentral describes it as "tRNA-Leu". It matches the Rfam family "tRNA". From Rfam's summary of the family: Transfer RNA (tRNA) molecules are approximately 80 nucleotides in length. Their secondary structure includes four short double-helical elements and three loops (D, anti-codon, and T loops). The record is from RNAcentral. Lineage: Eukaryota; Viridiplantae; Chlorophyta; Ulvophyceae; Bryopsidales; Caulerpaceae.
UAUUGCUAUGGUGAAAUAGGUAGACACACAGGCUUGAGGUGUCUGGGGCCUUUUGGGGCCUUCCCGGUUCAAGUCCGGGUAGCAAUAA